Molecule: ribosomal RNA, 384 nt
Filed under: Protoperidinium sp.
Lineage: Eukaryota; Dinophyceae; Peridiniales; Protoperidiniaceae
Description: partial small subunit ribosomal RNA
Rfam family: Eukaryotic small subunit ribosomal RNA
Source: RNAcentral
AGCUUCAAUAGUGUAUAUUAUAGUUGCUGUGGUUAAAAAGCUCGUAGUUGAGCUUUUGCCGAAUGAAACUGGUCCACCUUUUGGGUGAGUACUGGGGUGACUGGAGCAUCUGAGUGGUUGGUGUAGCUGCACUUGAAUGUGUGGUAUGCUGACUCAGACCUUCACUUUGAAGAAAUUAGAGUGUUCUAAGCAGGCUCUUGCCUUGAAUCUAUUAGCAUGGAAUGAUUGGAACAUCACACAGUUGCAUUUUGUUGGUUCCUGGAACUAUGCUAUACGAUGAGUAGAAACACUUGGGGGCAUACAGAUUCAACUGUCAGAGGUGAAAUUCUUGGAUUUGUUGAAGAUGGUCUGCUGUGAAAGCAUUUGCCAAGAAUGUUUUCAUUG